RNAcentral lists this long non-coding RNA (452 nucleotides) under Nicotiana benthamiana. RNAcentral describes it as "long non-coding RNA (NBEN_LNC029213)". The record is from RNAcentral. Lineage: Eukaryota; Viridiplantae; Streptophyta; Magnoliopsida; Solanales; Solanaceae.
UCUUUAUUGGGCUUCAAGACCAGGGGAUUGGGACCUGCUGAACCUAGAAGGCAAGUUGUAGAGAAUUCCAGUGAUGAGAGCUAUGAUGCAGCUUCCACAAUGGAUUUUGUGGGAGGAGAUCUUGCUGUUACUGCUUUUGCGGACCUUUCUUUUGAUCUACCAUUGCGGGUAUUAAGAGAAGCUGGAAUUCAUGGCCAUGCUUUUGCUUGUACCGGAAGCCUGAACAAAUUAACAGAAAAUGCGUAUAAAGAUUUGUCUUUACAUGCAAUGGAUUUUGUGGGAGGAGAUCUCGCGGUUACUGCUUUUGCGGACCUUUCUUUUGAUCUACCAUUGCGGGUAUUGAGAGAAGCUGGGAUUCAUGGCCAUGCUUUUGCUUGUACCGGAAGCCUGAACAAAUUAACAGAAAAUGCGUAUAAAGAUUUUUCUUUACAGAAAUUCCAAGAAUCAUUCCG